Molecule: ribosomal RNA, 447 nt
Filed under: uncultured bacterium
Lineage: Bacteria
Description: bacterial SSU rRNA
Rfam family: Bacterial small subunit ribosomal RNA
Source: RNAcentral
UCGGGAAUUUUGGGCAAUGGGCGAAAGCCUGACCCAGCAACGCCGCGUGAAGGAUGAAGUAUUUCGGUAUGUAAACUUCGAAAGAAUAGGAAGAAUAAAUGACGGUACUAUUUAUAAGGUCCGGCUAACUACGUGCCAGCAGCCGCGGUAAUACGUAGGGACCAAGCGUUGUUCGGAUUUACUGGGCGUAAAGGGCGCGUAGGCGGCAAUUCAAGUCAUCUGUGAAAUCUCCGGGCUUAACUCGAAACGGUCAGAUGAUACUGCUUUGCUAGAGUGCAGAAGGGGCAAUCGGAAUUCUUGGUGUAGCGGUGAAAUGCGUAGAUAUCAAGAGGAACACCUGAGGUGAAGACGGGUUGCUGGGCUGACACUGACGCUGAGGCGCGAAAGCCAGGGGAGCAAACGGGAUUAGAUACCCGCGUAGUCCCUGAGCGGGCUGGCAAGGCGCAU